This 87-nucleotide transfer RNA is filed under the name Magnetococcales bacterium. Its description in RNAcentral is "tRNA-Leu". It matches the Rfam family "tRNA". Rfam says of the family: Transfer RNA (tRNA) molecules are approximately 80 nucleotides in length. Their secondary structure includes four short double-helical elements and three loops (D, anti-codon, and T loops). Lineage: Bacteria; Pseudomonadati; Pseudomonadota; Magnetococcia; Magnetococcales. The record is from RNAcentral.
GCCCAGGUGGCGGAAUUGGUAGACGCGCUAGAUUCAGGUUCUAGUGACCACUAGGUCGUGGAAGUUCGAGUCUUCUCCUGGGCACCA